Anas platyrhynchos (mallard) is the source of this 1375-nucleotide long non-coding RNA. RefSeq lists it as uncharacterized. NCBI's taxonomy places the organism in Eukaryota, Metazoa, Chordata, Aves, Anseriformes, Anatidae. The record is from RefSeq and is a predicted model, not a curated record.
UAAGUUUAUGUGUCUCCAGCUGUGUCUUUUCCUUCUGGAUGGACUCCCACCAAUACUACAGCAGUUGCUUCAGCCCCAUCUUUUGUUGCUUCAGGCCACGCUCCCUGGAUGGCUGCUGGACCAGGUUCACUGCUUUGCCCUACCUGGGCCUGUCGAUGGGCCCUGCUACCAGUACCCAGCUCUGCCUGCUGUAUUUGGGUGCUCAGGAACGUGCCCUGGUCAGUGAGGGGCUGAGUCAGCCCCUGCUCCCAGCUCACCUCCCUUAGCAGCAACCUGUCUUCAGCAUCAACUGCAAAGAUAUACUAUAAGAUUAACCACAAGCCCCAGUCAGAAGAGGGAGCUAGUCUUGUGUUGUCAGAAAAUAUGUAGGAGGUAAGAGUCUAACCCUGAAGAGCCUGCAUUCCAGUUUAAGACAAAAUACAGUGUGGAGAGAAAAAAAGAGAAAGGAAAUAAGAGUAGCAAAAUACAUCAACAAGAAGAAGCUAAACUAAAACCUAUAAGCAGCAAAAUGGUUCUAAAUUAUGGAGCUGUCUUUAAUUUAAAAGCUCUCCUUGAUCCCAGCAGCUCUCUAUUCUACCAUGAAAUACAAAUUUUAUGGACUCUUCUAUUUUUAUACAGAUGGUCUUGGAUAGAACUUUUCCUCCUACAAUAGGAAAGCUUUGCUUUAAAGCCUCCACUCCCACACAUCAACAUUAAGCCACUGAGGAGAAGCAAAAGGCAGCAGCCACAAAACAGAUGCCCAAAAGAAAAGGGAUCCUUCUAAUUUUCAUCCUGAAGUAAUAACAAGCCAGUAUGGAGAAUUACAGGGGCAAAAGAAGCAGAAGAAAAUAAAAGCAUAUGAAUCAUCCUCGUUAUUAAAAUACCCAAUUAAAAAAAAAAAAAAACAACUCUCAAACUAAAACCAAUCAUUAAGUAUACCCCUUCCAAUUCUACAUCAAAUAAUAAAGGGAAAAUAAAAAAGUGACAUUUGCAUUUAAACAGCUAGGUACUUUCAGAAACCUCCCUCCCCAAAAUCACCAAAAACUUUUGUGAUAAUUAGAGCAAUUGAAAUAUGGAGGGGGGGGGAUCAUUGCAAGCACUAUGUGCAGCUUUCUUAACUGUCUUUUAAGUUGUUUUUACGGAUGAAAGUAAACAGGAAACUGCAAGAAUAUUUGGUAAUUGGCUAUUCAGCAAAAAGGACAAAUAAGGAACAGGAAGGUAAUUAAAUAUGUAGAUGCACAUCCUCUAACACUCUGCAGAUAAGAGAGUAACAAAGAAAGAACACAUGGGAUGCUGAUGGAUGGGCUUGAGUGUGAACGACUUGCGUGACCUUGAAAAAACUCAACCAGAAACUUUUUAAGAAGUAGGAAAACAACAUUACUAAGGGUUACCAGCA